UCUCGAUUGGUCUAGUGGUAAGGAUACCUGCUUGUCAUCCAUUGGUUCAUGUGGUACUCCACGAUAGUGGAGAACGGUAGCAUUUCCAGAGCAAAUCGCAGGUGGCCGGGGUUCGAUUCCCCGAUCGAGAG
Molecule: non-coding RNA, 131 nt
Organism: Nemania sp. FL0916
Lineage: Eukaryota; Fungi; Ascomycota; Sordariomycetes; Xylariales; Xylariaceae
Source: the annotation of a GenBank genome assembly